Molecule: transfer RNA, 71 nt
Filed under: Deltaproteobacteria bacterium
Lineage: Bacteria; Pseudomonadati; Myxococcota; Myxococcia
Description: tRNA-Gly
Rfam family: tRNA
About the family: Transfer RNA (tRNA) molecules are approximately 80 nucleotides in length. Their secondary structure includes four short double-helical elements and three loops (D, anti-codon, and T loops). Further hydrogen bonds mediate the characteristic L-shaped molecular structure. tRNAs have two regions of fundamental functional importance: the anti-codon, which is responsible for specific mRNA codon recognition, and the 3' end, to which the tRNAs corresponding amino acid is attached (by aminoacyl-tRNA synthetases). tRNAs cope with the degeneracy of the genetic code in two manners: having more than one tRNA (with a specific anti-codon) for a particular amino acid; and 'wobble' base-pairing, i.e. permitting non-standard base-pairing at the 3rd anti-codon position.
Source: RNAcentral
GCGGGAGUAGCUCAAUGGUAGAGUGCCUGCCUUCCAAGCAGGCUAUGAGGGUUCGAUUCCCUUCUCCCGCU